GCAGUACGAGGAUGCAGGUUGCGGUGAUGGUGAUUAAGAUUGAAGAUGAAGAAGAUAGGUUCAAUCAAGGUGGAGAUCAACAAAUUUGAUGGAAAGAGCAAUUUCUCUUUGUGACAAGCGAGGGUAAAGGACGUGCUCAUCCAACAAGGAUUGAUCGAUGCUUUCUUCUGUAAAGAGAAGCCGACUACCAUGGAGGUGCA
RNAcentral lists this long non-coding RNA (200 nucleotides) under Elaeis guineensis (African oil palm). Its description in RNAcentral is "long non-coding RNA (EGUI_LNC004567)". The record is from RNAcentral. Lineage: Eukaryota; Viridiplantae; Streptophyta; Magnoliopsida; Arecales; Arecaceae.